CCUACGGGUGGCAGCAGUGAGGAAUAUUGGUCAAUGGGCGCGAGCCUGAACCAGCCAAGUAGCGUGAAGGAUGACUGCCCUACGGGUUGUAAACUUCUUUUAUAAAGGAAUAAAGUGAGGCACGUGUGCCUUUUUGUAUGUACUUUAUGCAUAAGGAUCGGCUAACUCCGUGCCAGCAGCCGCGGUAAUACGGAGGAUCCGAGCGUUAUCCGUGUUUAUUGGGUUUAAAGGGCGCGUAGAUGGGGUGUUAAGUCAGUUGUGAACGUUUGCGGCUCAACCGUAAAAUUGCAAUUGAUACUGGCAGUCUUGAGUACAGUUGAGGUAGGCGGAAUUCGUGGUGUAGCGGUGAAAUGCUUAGAUCUCACGAAGAACUCCGAUUGCGAAGGCAGCUUACUAAACUGCCACUGACAUUGAUGCUCGAAAGUGUGGGUAUCAAACAGGAUUAGAUACCCUGGUAGUC
This 460-nucleotide ribosomal RNA is filed under the name uncultured bacterium. RNAcentral describes it as "partial 16S ribosomal RNA". It matches the Rfam family "Bacterial small subunit ribosomal RNA", at positions 338 to 795 of the family's 1533-position model. The record is from RNAcentral.